GUUGGUGAACCAGCGGAGGGAUCAUUACAGAGUUGCAAAACUCCCAAAACCCUUUGUGAACAUACCUAUAUCUGUUGCUUCGGCAGGCAGCCCCAGGGCGGGGCUUUCAGCCGCAAGGCGCCUGCCGGAGGACCAAAAACUCUUAUAUAUUUUAGUGUAUAUUCUGAGCUACAAACAAAAAAUAAGUCAAAACUUUCAGCAACGGAUCUCUUGGUUCUG
Molecule: unclassified non-coding RNA, 219 nt
Filed under: rhizosphere metagenome
Description: partial ribosomal RNA internal transcribed spacer region
Source: RNAcentral